Molecule: ribosomal RNA, 335 nt
Filed under: uncultured bacterium
Lineage: Bacteria
Description: bacterial SSU rRNA
Rfam family: Bacterial small subunit ribosomal RNA
Source: RNAcentral
AGAGUUUGAUUCUGGCUCAGGAUGAACGCUAGCUACAGGCUUAACACAUGCAAGUCGCGGGGCAGCAUGAAGUCAGCUUGCUGACUUUGAUGGCGACCGGCGCACGGGUGAGUAACGCGUAUCCAACCUGCCUGUUACCACGGCACAGCCCGUCGAAAGGCGGAUUAAUGCCGUAUGUGGUCCUUUGCGGGCAUCUAAUUAGGACUAAAGGUUCAGCGGUAACGGAUGGGGAUGCGUCCGAUUAGCUAGACGGCGGGGUAACGGCCCACCGUGGCUACGAUCGGUAGGGGUUCUGAGAGGAAGGUCCCCCACACUGGAACUGAGACACGGUCCAG